This 803-nucleotide ribosomal RNA is filed under the name uncultured bacterium. RNAcentral's name for it is "bacterial SSU rRNA". It matches the Rfam family "Bacterial small subunit ribosomal RNA", at positions 51 to 850 of the family's 1533-position model. The record is from RNAcentral.
ACACAUGCAAGUCGAACGAAGCUUGACGGAUGAUUUCUUCGGAAUGAAACCAGAUAUGACUUAGUGGCGGACGGGUGAGUAACACGUGAGCAACCUGCCUUUCAGAGGGGGAUAACGGCUGGAAACGGUCGCUAAUACCGCAUGACGUGUUCGGAUGGCAUCAUCUGAACAUCAAAGAUUUAUCGCUGAAAGAUGGGCUCGCGUCUGAUUGGAUAGUUGGUGGGGUAACGGCCUACCAAGUCUACGAUCAGUAGCCGGACUGAGAGGUUGAACGGCCACAUUGGGACUGAGAUACGGCCCAGACUCCUACGGGAGGCAGCAGUGGGGAAUAUUGCACAAUGGGGGAAACCCUGAUGCAGCAACGCCGCGUGAAGGAUGACGGUUUUCGGAUUGUAAACUUCUUUUCUUAGUGACGAAGACAGUGACGGUAGCUAAGGAAUAAGCAUCGGCUAACUACGUGCCAGCAGCCGCGGUAAUACGUAGGAUGCAAGCGUUAUCCGGAUUUACUGGGUGUAAAGGGAGCGCAGGCGGGACUGCAAGUUGGAUGUGAAAUACCGUGGCUUAACCACGGAACUGCAUCCAAAACUGUAGUUCUUGAGUGAAGUAGAGGCAAGCGGAAUUCCGAGUGUAGCGGUGAAAUGCGUAGAUAUUCGGAGGAACACCAGUGGCGAAGGCGGCUUGCUGGGCUUUAACUGACGCUGAGGCUCGAAAGUGUGGGGAGCAAACAGGAUUAGAUACCCUGGUAGUCCACACUGUAAACGAUGAUAGCUAGGUGUGGGGGGUCUGACCCCUUCCGUGCCGGA